This is a non-coding RNA of Mus caroli (Ryukyu mouse), 1567 nucleotides long. NCBI's taxonomy places the organism in Eukaryota, Metazoa, Chordata, Mammalia, Rodentia, Muridae. The record is from RefSeq and is a predicted model, not a curated record.
AGGAGCAGGUAAACAGCUCUGACAUUUGGCUGGUAGGCAUCUCUGUGUCCUGUGCUCUCUUGGCAGCUACAGCUUAGAAAGUCGCAUCCAGGCUCUGUGCUGACGCCUUCGCUCAGGCUGUGCGUUUCUAGCAGGGUUUCUGAAGGCGGGUGGGAAAAACGAAAAGAGGAGAGUGGUCUCGGAAUCUUCGGGAAGCGGGACCCGNGCCUUCUACCUCAGUGGAAACAAACAUAGGUGGGUCUUGGAGGAGGGACUGAGUCGCAGUUCGAGGGCGGACCGCAGCGGCUCAGGGGAAGGUGACUGUGAGAUCCACCGUACCCAGUCGGAACAGUCGGCCUGAACAGGGCUUUAAUGGUGGCUUUAUCCGAAGACUGCGCUAGGAGUGUUUGGAUCUGUGAUUCCAUCUGUCCAAAAGGGCCAAUACGGACGCUCUGCCAAGGAGGUCAGUAUCUGGACUGGUCUCAGCUGGGAAAUGACUGUAUUUUCCUGCCUUCAGGGACAGAUGAAGUUGAUGUCAUCAGUGCUUUGAGGCUGCUAAAUUCUGGGUGUUCAGUCCCACAUCCAGUGGCUCCUGCUGAGUCUUCUCAAGGCUCCAUUUCCAUCAAGCUAGCACCAAGGUUCAUUACAACAUAGCUGUGUCCACUAAUUGCACAGUGUUUUGAGUGGAGAAUCUAGGACCAAGCCAUGACUAUCCUCUCACUCUCAUGACUCUAUACGAUUCUCCUUCUCUCGAGUGUAUCCCAGUAUCCUCUGCGUGUUUCCAGGGGCAAAACCAAAACCAAGCAACUUACAAACAUCAUGAAUGAAUAUGUGGUGAGUUAUUCCCCAGUGUACUAUCUGUUGUUAUGUUAUUUGUAUUCAUAGUCUGACCAUCAGUAAGACCUGCCUAAAUUUACAGAGAGAAUUAAACUUUAAUUCCUAUUAAUACUAAUGUAGCAACAUUUAGUAAAUCAUAGUUUUCCUUAUUGCUACAGAUCAUUAAUAUUUCUCCCAUAUUUAAAAUAUCUUUGGCCACUGUCAUUUCCACCAUGAUGCUUUGCCCCUUCCGGAACUGGUUGAAAUCAUGAUUAAGUUGGUUCUUAGUUAACCCCGCCCUCCAUCCACAUCCAGUGCGUAGUGCGUAGUGAAGAGGCUGCAGGUGCAUCCAUGGUGGGCACUUGUAGAAGGCAAGGUGCUGGGGGUCGGGGGGCGGCGUGCCCUGUGCACACUGAUUUACUCCCAUUAGGCACCUAUGCCAGUUCUUUGUUAGAAGCCUAGUCCGGGUCCGUGCUUCAUGUAUCUUCAUUCUGCUUUUUGGCUCUUGCAAGUCUCUUAGUUGAUACUCUCUUUCUCUAGCAAAUACCUAAGUUUGCAAUUGGCCAUCUUCUUUCACUUAUGUCAGCCAAAUACUCAGAGGCCUCCGUUCCAUUUAGUCUGUGUGUUNGUGCAUGUUGGGACUCCAGCCAAGGGUCUUAUGAGCAUUAAGCGUUUGUUCCCUUAUUACUGACACACCCUGCACUGUCCCCGUUUCUGCCUCCUUCUUCCUGUGCUUUCUUUUUUCUGAUGGUGGCCUUAUUCCAGGAAACGA